RNAcentral lists this ribosomal RNA (427 nucleotides) under uncultured bacterium. RNAcentral's name for it is "bacterial SSU rRNA". It matches the Rfam family "Bacterial small subunit ribosomal RNA", at positions 355 to 774 of the family's 1533-position model. The record is from RNAcentral.
UGGGGAAUCUUGCGCAAUGGGCGAAAGCCUGACGCAGCGACGCCGCGUGAGUGAUGAAGGCCUUCGGGUUGUAAAGCCCUUUUGUUGGGAAAGAAAUCCUAUCGGUUAAUAACCGGUGGGGAUGACGGUACCCAAAGAAUAAGCACCGGCUAACUUCGUGCCAGCAGCCGCGGUAAUACGUAGGGUGCGAGCGUUAAUCGGAAUUACUGGGCGUAAAGCGUGCGCAGGCGGUUAUAUAAGACAGAGGUGAAAUCCCCGGGCUCAACCUGGGAACUGCCUUUGUGACUGCAUAGCUAGAGUACGGUAGAGGGGGAUGGAAUUCCGCGUGUAGCAGUGAAAUGCGUAGAGAUCAGAAGGAACAUCCGUGGCGAAGGCGGCAUCCUGGGCCAACACUGACACUGAGGCACGAAAGCGUGGGGAGCAAACA